Molecule: unclassified non-coding RNA, 200 nt
Filed under: uncultured Russulaceae
Lineage: Eukaryota; Fungi; Basidiomycota; Agaricomycetes; Russulales; Russulaceae
Description: sequence contains ITS1
Source: RNAcentral
UCGUAACAAAAGAGGUGCGAGGGCUGUCGCUGACCCCCAAAGGGGGGUCGUGCACGCCCUCGCGCUUCCACACAGUCCACCUCUCACCCCUUUGUGCAUCACCGCGUGGGUUCCUCCUUUUGCGGGAAGGGCCUGCGUUUUUAUCAUAAAACUUGAUACAGUGUAGAAUGUUUUAUCUUUGCGGUUGUACGCAAUCAAUA